UCGUCGCGAGGCUGCGAGGCGCCGCUCGGGGAUGCUGGCGCCGAACCGGAGGGGAUGGCGAGGGUCAGUUCCUUUAAGCGGGCGCGGACUUUCCUCAGUGAUGACUUUGGGUUUUAUUUCCUCCUGGACCCGCGCACUCGCGCCCUGUGGAGUGAUUCACUUCCUCUUCCGUGACCUGCUGUUUGGGCCGCGGCCAGCAGGCUUCCGGGAAGUCGGCAGGUCAUCCCUAGGUAAACCCUUAACCUUGCCCAGUGCUGGGCCAGGCCCAGCAAGGCCGAGGUUUGUGAAACAGAAGCAGAAAUUCCGUCCCAGGAGCGGUUUCCAAAAGUUUGGUCCCUGGAACUUUGCCCCCAAAGAACCGUGGACUUCACGCUCCCACGUGCCUGGUGAAUGCCCGCAUCUCGCAGCCAGAGCGUCCGCGGCCCCGCCCCGCCCCGCCCCGCCCACCAGUGAAUCACCACGCGUCCGGGGCCAUGCUUUAACCACGCCACAGCGCGAAUUAUUGCGUCCGUUGGAGGAGAACUGAUUUCCGAGUACGAGUACAUCUUACUGGUUUUCAGCCAUGUUGGUGUAUUUACAAACAAGUUCCAGACGGUAUCGUGGCAGUGGCAAAUAUGGAUGCUGCCAUGGGUCAAAUUGUUGCACAGCGCCUUCCAUUCCAUUGAGGUCCAGGAAGUCUACAGCUGCCACUUGGGAAAACAGUUCACUUAGGAGUUCUCCUCAUUCUGCGGGUCCAGUUUGGCAGCACCCAAUGACAACAGGGCUGAGAAAAACCGCUCUCAAAAUUAGCAUGGAACCAGUGAGUGAACUGAGGUGGAGGCAGUUGGGACCCAACAUGCUCAGCUUUCUGUGCCCAGGUAAUGCUUGUGCCCUACAGGUGGAAAUUGGGUUUUGGAAGGAAGUCCCAAUCCAGUCCUCUGCCUGAGAAAGAGCUGGUGUGCUGGCCGUCUGCCUCC
This is a long non-coding RNA of Myotis davidii, 956 nucleotides long. RefSeq lists it as uncharacterized. The transcript is spliced from 3 exons. The record is from RefSeq and is a predicted model, not a curated record. NCBI's taxonomy places the organism in Eukaryota, Metazoa, Chordata, Mammalia, Chiroptera, Vespertilionidae.